UAGGGAAUCUUCCACAAUGGACGAAAGUCUGAUGGAGCAACGCCGCGUGAGUGAAGAAGGGUUUCGGCUCGUAAAACUCUGUUGUUAAAGAAGAACAUAUCCUGAGAGUAACUGUUCAGGUAUUGACGGUAUUUAACCAGAAAGCCACGGCUAACUACGUGCCAG
This 165-nucleotide ribosomal RNA is filed under the name uncultured bacterium. Its description in RNAcentral is "partial 16S ribosomal RNA". It matches the Rfam family "Bacterial small subunit ribosomal RNA", at positions 355 to 511 of the family's 1533-position model. The record is from RNAcentral.